RNAcentral lists this ribosomal RNA (267 nucleotides) under uncultured Desulfocapsa sp. Its description in RNAcentral is "partial 16S ribosomal RNA". It matches the Rfam family "Bacterial small subunit ribosomal RNA", at positions 1114 to 1382 of the family's 1533-position model. Lineage: Bacteria; Pseudomonadati; Thermodesulfobacteriota; Desulfobulbia; Desulfobulbales; Desulfocapsaceae. The record is from RNAcentral.
GUUGCCAUCAUUAAGUUGGGCACUCUAAAGAGACUGCCGGUGUCAAACCGGAGGAAGGUGGGGAUGACGUCAAGUCCUCAUGGCCUUUAUGACCAGGGCUACACACGUACUACAAUGGCCGGUACAAAGGGCAGCGACACAGCGAUGCGAAGCCAAUCCCGAAAAGCCGGUCUCAGUCCGGAUUGGAGUCUGCAACUCGACUCCAUGAAGUUGGAAUCGCUAGUAAUCGCGGAUCAGCACGCCGCGGUGAAUACGUUCCCGGGCCUU